GACAAGAUUCGCUAUGAGAGCCUGAC
RNAcentral lists this non-coding RNA (26 nucleotides) under Cricetulus griseus (Chinese hamster). Lineage: Eukaryota; Metazoa; Chordata; Mammalia; Rodentia; Cricetidae. The record is from RNAcentral.